AACGUCCAUAACACGUUGAAACACCGGUUCUCGUCGGAUCAGCGAAGUCAAGCAACAUUGAGCCUGGUUAGUACCUUGAUGGGUGACCGUUUGGAAAUACCAGGUGCU
Molecule: non-coding RNA, 108 nt
Organism: Acanthosepion pharaonis
Lineage: Eukaryota; Metazoa; Mollusca; Cephalopoda; Sepiida; Sepiidae
Source: the annotation of a GenBank genome assembly